Long non-coding RNA from Homo sapiens (human), 472 nucleotides. RefSeq lists it as uncharacterized. NCBI's taxonomy places the organism in Eukaryota, Metazoa, Chordata, Mammalia, Primates, Hominidae. The transcript is spliced from 2 exons. The record is from RefSeq and is a predicted model, not a curated record.
AUCAUUGUCACUUUGUGGCUUGACUUUGCAGCCACGUCUUCCAAAGGCCUGUUGUCUUCUCACCCCAGCACCCGCAGGACGUCUGCAGGGAAGCUACGUUGCCUCCCUGAGGGCCUGCAGGCCUGCUGUGAUCCAGCACCGUCAUAGCCAGCUCAUCUUUUGUUGUUGUGGGAAGGGCCCACAGAAGCCAACAGUUUUGGUGGAACUCCGAUCGGACAGUAGAUGCUUCUUAUUCCUUGUUAUGAACUACAAAUGCCCCGACCUCGUGUUUAUGAUCGCCAACAGUCACUUGUGCAUUUCUGUCUCCACUAAUGCAUGGUGUGGCUAAUUGGGUUUGUGAAAAAGGUCACUUCCAUCUUUUUUUUUUUUAAUGAAUGGUUUAGUUUAUUAUUACAGUGGAGUGUUGACAAGCAUGGCAGAGACUAAAAAUAUAGUUCCUUUUCAAAAUAAAAUAUUCAGCAUUUUGACUGGC